Molecule: ribosomal RNA, 177 nt
Filed under: Helicobacter pylori
Lineage: Bacteria; Pseudomonadati; Campylobacterota; Epsilonproteobacteria; Campylobacterales; Helicobacteraceae
Description: partial 23S ribosomal RNA
Rfam family: Bacterial large subunit ribosomal RNA
Source: RNAcentral
AGCCCGAGUAAACGGCGGCCGUAACUAUAACGGUCCUAAGGUAGCGAAAUUCCUUGUCGGUUAAAUACCGACCUGCAUGAAUGGCGUAACGAGAUGGGAGCUGUCUCAACCAGAGAUUCAGUGAAAUUGUAGUGGAGGUGAAAAUUCCUCCUACCCGCGGCAAGACGGAGAGACCCC